RNAcentral lists this ribosomal RNA (447 nucleotides) under Synergistetes bacterium oral taxon 360. Its description in RNAcentral is "bacterial SSU rRNA". It matches the Rfam family "Bacterial small subunit ribosomal RNA", at positions 29 to 500 of the family's 1533-position model. The record is from RNAcentral. Lineage: Bacteria; Thermotogati; Synergistota.
AUGAACGCUGCGGCGUGCGUAACACAUGCAAGUUGAACGCGGUGCCAUAAGUGGUAACACGGAGUGGUAUACGGAGUAGCGGACGGGUGAGUAAAGCAUGAGAAUCUGUCCUGUCGAGGGGGAUAACGUUCGGAAACGGACCUAAUACCCCAUAGUCCGAGAGGUUAAAGGCAGCGAUGCGCGGCAGGAGGAGCUCGUGUCCUAUCAGCUGGUUGGUGAGGUAACGGCUCACCAAGGCUUCGACGGGUAGCCGGCCUGAGAGGGUGACCGGCCACACUGGAACUGAGAAACGGUCCAGACUCCUACGGGAGGCAGCAGUGGGGAAUAUUGGGCAAUGGGAGGAAUCCUGACCCAGCGACGCCGCGUGAACGAAGACGGCCUUCGGGUUGUAAAGUUCUUUUAUGUGGGAAGAAUGAAGUGACGGUACCACAUGAAUAGCCCGGCUAA